AUUGAACGCUGGCGGCAGGCCUAACACAUGCAAGUCGAGCGGCGCGGCGGACGGGUGGGUAAUGCCUAGGACUCUGCCUGGUCGUUGGGGAUAGCGUCCGGAAACGGGCCCUAAUACCGCAUCCGAUCUGAUGAGACUAGGUCGGAUUAGCUAGUUGGUGGGGUAAGGGCCUACCAAGGCGACGAUCCGUAACUGGUCUGAGAGGAUGAUCAGUCACACUGGAACUGAGACACGGUCCAGACUCCUACGGGAGGCAGCAGUGGGGAAUAUUGGACAAUGGGCGAAAGCCUGAUGCAGCCAGGCCGCGUGUGUGAAGAAGGUCUUCGGAUUGUAAAGCACUUUAAGUUGGGAGGCGUUACCAACAGAAUAAGCACCGGCUAACUUCGUGCCAGCAGCCGCGGUAAUAC
RNAcentral lists this ribosomal RNA (407 nucleotides) under uncultured bacterium. Its description in RNAcentral is "partial 16S ribosomal RNA". It matches the Rfam family "Bacterial small subunit ribosomal RNA", at positions 30 to 526 of the family's 1533-position model. The record is from RNAcentral.